AUUGCCUUGCUGUGAGGCCCGCCGGGCUGGCUUGUCGGGUCAGCGCAGGCGCUCGCCGGUCACACCGGCCAGGUGGUCC
Molecule: transfer RNA, 79 nt
Filed under: Pseudarthrobacter scleromae
Lineage: Bacteria; Bacillati; Actinomycetota; Actinomycetes; Micrococcales; Micrococcaceae
Description: tRNA-Asp
Source: RNAcentral